AACGAACGCUGGCGGCAUGCCUAACACAUGCAAGUCGAACGAGACCUUCGGGUCUAGUGGCGCACGGGUGCGUAACGCGUGGGAACCUGCCCUUAGGUUCGGAAUAACUCCCCGAAAGGGGUGCUAAUACCGGAUAAUGUCUUCGGACCAAAGAUUUAUCGACUUUGGAUGGGCCCGCGUUGGAUUAGCUAGUUGGUAGGGUAAAAGCCUACCAAGGCGACGAUCCAUAGCUGGUCUGAGAGGAUGAUCAGCCACACUGGGACUGAGACACGGCCCAGACUCCUACGGGAGGCAGCAGUGGGGAAUAUUGGACAAUGGGCGAAAGCCUGAUCCAGCAAUGCCGCGUGAGCGAUGAAGGCCUUAGGGUUGUAAAGCUCUUUUACCCGGGAUGAUAAUGACAGUACCGGGAGAAUAAGCUCCGGCUAACUCCGUG
Molecule: ribosomal RNA, 433 nt
Filed under: uncultured bacterium
Lineage: Bacteria
Description: partial 16S ribosomal RNA
Rfam family: Bacterial small subunit ribosomal RNA
Source: RNAcentral